CGCCUCAGAGCGGGAUCGAACCCCCGACCGCUGCAGUGGAAGUCCAAGGACAUAACCACUGCGCCACAGUCUC
This is a non-coding RNA of Oesophagostomum dentatum (nodular worm), 73 nucleotides long. The record is from the annotation of a GenBank genome assembly. NCBI's taxonomy places the organism in Eukaryota, Metazoa, Nematoda, Chromadorea, Rhabditida, Strongylidae.